Molecule: long non-coding RNA, 1017 nt
Organism: Zophobas morio
Lineage: Eukaryota; Metazoa; Arthropoda; Insecta; Coleoptera; Tenebrionidae
Exons: 3
Source: RefSeq, a predicted model, not a curated record
UGUUAUUGUUGGUGGUUCAAAAAGUGUUUUGUGUAAGUUCAUGGUGUUUGUCCUAUUGUGAAUUGUGAUUAUCGGUACUGCGAUAAAUUCAGAAUAGUGUAGUAAAUACCGUUUUGUCAAGAAAACAGCACUAAACCUACAUAACCUCACUUCUACAUGCAAUGCAGAAAAUGCAAUUUCUCAGCACAGACAAAAUGAUGAAUGUCCGGGCGCAACAAAAAAAAAGAAGAAAUCGAGUUAGAAAUUGCGGGAGAUACGCAGAAAUUGGAUGAAGUUGAAGAGAAGACGUAAAAAACAUGUACACAAUUUAGAAGAAAUUAUUAAUAAUGAACCAAAUUGCUUUCAAGUUUUCAGGGCAAGGAAAAAAUAAGCUCUCUUUUAGUGAACUGACAAUAACAAGGCUACAAUAUGUCAAGUUAUGUGAUUUCUUAAAAAUUACGAACUUUGUAAGUUAAUUUAAUUGUAGGUACCACACGGAAACGUCACAAAAACGCCACAACUACUGAAAUUUAAAAAAUGGUAGGACCCUCAUUAAGCGCAGACAAAACCAAGAAUGAAUUCUCAUCGAAAAAAACAUGAGGUAUGAUUUUUUUUAUUUUAAUUAAUUAUAUCGCUUUUCAAUGAAUUGGUUAUAGAGCAAAUAAUUAUUAAAUAAAUAUUUCUGUAUAACGAUUGAAAUGUAGCAGAACAUUGUUAUUUCCAUUGACAAUGUAUUUUUAUUUAAUUGUAAGUUGGCAGUGUAUUUUUAUGUUUAAAAAAUUUAUAUUGUGUUUCACAUCAGGUGAUUUUUUAAAUUUAUGCUCUGGUUGCCCAUGAAGCUUAUGCCAGCAGUUUCAGUUUCACUGCCGACAUAAGUGUCAUGGGUAACUACAGCAGAAAUUAAAAAAAAAUCACCCGGUACAAAUUUUCAACGAAUUGGUUCUAGGACAAAUCAUUUUUAAAUGUAUAAAUAUUGCCGCGACGUUUCAAAUACACUGUUAUUUCCAGUGACAAUGUAUUUUUGUAUUUAAUAAAUAU